This is a non-coding RNA of Myotis davidii, 76 nucleotides long. Lineage: Eukaryota; Metazoa; Chordata; Mammalia; Chiroptera; Vespertilionidae. The record is from Rfam.
GGUGGUUCUCAGGUGACACAUCCUGGAAUUGGGUUCCCUCGUCUCUGGUUCCAGAGUGCGUCACCCAAGAACGGCC